Molecule: ribosomal RNA, 617 nt
Filed under: Rhodotorula graminis
Lineage: Eukaryota; Fungi; Basidiomycota; Microbotryomycetes; Sporidiobolales; Sporidiobolaceae
Description: eukaryotic LSU rRNA
Rfam family: Eukaryotic large subunit ribosomal RNA
Source: RNAcentral
GCAUAUCAAUAAGCGGAGGAAAAGAAACUAACAAGGAUUCCCCUAGUAGCGGCGAGCGAAGCGGGAAGAGCUCAAAUUUAUAAUCUGGCACCUUCGGUGUCCGAGUUGUAAUCUCUAGAAGUGUUUUCCGCGUUGGACCGCACACAAGUCUGUUGGAAUACAGCGGCAUAGUGGUGAAACCCCCGUAUAUGGUGCGGACGUCCAGCGCUUUGUGAUACACUUUCAAUGAGUCGAGUUGUUUGGGAAUGCAGCUCAAAUUGGGUGGUAAAUUCCAUCUAAAGCUAAAUAUUGGCGAGAGACCGAUAGCGAACAAGUACCGUGAGGGAAAGAUGAAAAGCACUUUGGAAAGAGAGUUAACAGUACGUGAAAUUGUUGGAAGGGAAACGCUUGAAGUCAGACUUGCUUGCCGGAGCUUGCUUCGGUUUGCAGGCCAGCAUCAGUUUUCCGGGGUGGAUAAUGACGGUUUGAAGGUAGCAGUCUCGGCUGUGUUAUAGCUUUCCGUUGGAUACAUCCUGGGGGACUGAGGAACGCAGCGUGCUUUUUGCGAAAGACUCGUCUUUUUCACGCUUAGGAUGCUGGUGGAAUGGCUUUAAACGACCCGUCUUGAAACACGGACC